CGGCACGCCUAACACAUGCAAGUCGAACGAAGUAGCAAUACUUAGUGGCAGACGGGUGAGUAACAUGUAGGUAUCUGCCCUUUGGCCUGGAAUAACACGAGGAAACUUGUGCUAAUACCGGAUAAGUCUUUACAGAGAAAGCUUUAUGCACCAUUGGAUGAGCCUGCACUUGAUUAGUUUGUUGGUGGGGUAAUGGCCUACCAAGACUGUGAUCAAUAGCUGAUUUGAGAGGAUGAUCAGCCACAUUGGGACUGAGACACGGCCCAAACUCCUACGGGAGGCAGCAGUGGGGAAUCUUGCACAAUGGAGGAAACUCUGAUGCAGCGAUGCCGCGUGAGUGAAGAAGGCCUUUGGGUUGUAAAGCUCUUUCGUCGGGGAAGAAAAUGACUGUACCCGAAUAAGAAGGUCCGGCUAACUUCGUGCCAGCAGCCGCGGUAAUACGAAGGGACCUAGCGUAGUUCGGAAUUACUGGGCUUAAAGAGUUCGUAGGUGGUUGAAAAAGUUGGUGGUGAAAUCCCAGAGCUUAACUCUGGAACUGCCAUCAAAACUUUUCAGCUAGAGUAUGAUAGAGGAAAGCAGAAUUUCUAGUGUAGAGGUGAAAUUCGUAGAUAUUAGAAAGAAUACCAAUUGCGAAGGCAGCUUUCUGGAUCAUUACUGACACUGAGGAACGAAAGCAUGGGUAGCGAAGAGGAUUAGAUACCCUCGUAGUCCAUGCCGUAAACGAUGUGUGUUAGACGUUGGAAAUUUAUUUUCAGUGUCGCAGCGAAAGCGAUAAACACACCGCCUGGGGAGUACG
This 796-nucleotide ribosomal RNA is filed under the name uncultured Pelagibacteraceae bacterium. RNAcentral describes it as "bacterial SSU rRNA". It matches the Rfam family "Bacterial small subunit ribosomal RNA", at positions 40 to 884 of the family's 1533-position model. Lineage: Bacteria; Pseudomonadati; Pseudomonadota; Alphaproteobacteria; Candidatus Pelagibacterales; Candidatus Pelagibacteraceae. The record is from RNAcentral.